GCCAAUAGGACACAAGCUACUGCCAUUACUGUGUUACAGUACAGUGACACUUGCACAAUCACAACAAAGGUCUUGGACUCUAACUCUGUUCCUCUCAGAUGGAACCCUGUACAAAGGUCUUGGACUCUAACUCUGUUCCUCUCAGAUGGAACCCUGUACAAAGGUCUUGGACUCUAACUCUGUUCCUCUCAGAUGGAACCCUGUACAAAGGUCUUGGACUCUAACUCUGUUCCUCUCAGAUGGAACCCUGUACAAAGGUCUUGGACUCUAACUCUGUUCCUCUCAGAUGGAACCCUGUACAGCUUCUUCGUCGUAACUUGGUGUUGACGCAGGAUGUGGCAGAGUGUCGACAUACUGACACGGUUGAUAUUAUGGAAUGUUGUGUGAUCUGCCAUGAUUUGCUCUCGUAGUUGAUGUAGGCAGAUGGUGUUGUUUACCAACACUAGACUGACAAUGGCCAGUUCCUGUUCGUGGUGAACAGACGUUGCUGUCCACCCUCAGGAGGUCGUCUGGCAGUUCUCUAGAAAAUACAACAAUAUGAUGUCAUUGGUUGGGUUAUUUUUGACAUACUGUACUGUCACACUGUACACAGUAACAUCACAACUGUAUUACAUGUACUUCACAGCACUAUACCUGAGGAGCAUAGACCUAAUAUUGUAGGACUACAUUGUAUUGUACUGGGAUGCAGAAUGAUGUACAACGACUACAUAGGUACAAUCUAUUGUAGAAAGUUGAAGACAUACCUGUUCUCCAGUCUAAAGGUCCGUAUUAUGGAUGCUACCAUGUAGCGACUCCGGUUGGGCUGGAAGCUCUGUCCAGUCUCCCUCAUCGUCAGGCCAUGAUUUAUGACACGGUCCACCAAAGUGGCCCUAAUGUCGUCAGAAAUAUGUCUCUGUCUAUUGCCUGGUCCCCUUCUUUAUUCUUGUCGUCGUCCUCGUCGUCAUCGUCCUCCUCCUCCUCUCGCUCUUACUGCCUCCAUGUUUGCAAAGUUCUCACAAAAGAGGUGAUCUUACCUGAGGUCAAUAUGUAGUGAUG
Oncorhynchus tshawytscha (Chinook salmon) is the source of this 1035-nucleotide long non-coding RNA. The record is from Ensembl. Lineage: Eukaryota; Metazoa; Chordata; Actinopteri; Salmoniformes; Salmonidae.